GAUGAACGCUAGCGGCAGGCUUAAUACAUGCAAGUCGAGGGGCAGCAUAACUGUAGCAAUACAGUUGAUGGCGACCGGCAAACGGGUGCGGAACACGUACAGAACCUUCCUUCGAGCGGGGAAUAGCCCAGAGAAAUUUGGAUUAAUACCCCAUAGUACAACGGAGUGGCAUCACUUUGUUGUUAAAGAUUUAUCACUUGAAGAUGGCUGUGCGGCUGAUUAGGUAGUUGGCGGGGUAACGGCCCACCAAGCCUGCGAUCAGUAACUGGUGUGAGAGCACGACCAGUCACACGGGCACUGAGACACGGGCCCGACUCCUACGGGAGGCAGCAGUAAGGAAUAUUGGUCAAUGGACGAAAGUCUGAACCAGCCAUGCCGCGUGGAGGAUGAAGGUCCUCUGGAUUGUAAACUUCUUUUAUAUGGGACGAAAAAGGGUUUUCUAACUCGUCUGACGGUACCAUAUGAAUAAGCACCGGCUAACUCCGUGCCAGCAGCCGAC
Molecule: ribosomal RNA, 499 nt
Filed under: uncultured bacterium
Lineage: Bacteria
Description: bacterial SSU rRNA
Rfam family: Bacterial small subunit ribosomal RNA
Source: RNAcentral